GAUGAACGCUAGCGAUAGGCUUAACACAUGCAAGUCGAGGGGCAGCAUGGUCUUAGCUUGCUAAGACUGAUGGCGACCGGCGCACGGGUGCGUAACGCGUAUGCAACUUGCCUCACAGAGGGGGAUAACCCGUCGAAAGACGGACUAAUACCGCGUACACUUGGGAUAGGGCAUCCUGACCCAAGGAAAUGAAAUUCGCUGUGAGAUAGGCAUGCGUCCCAUUAGCUAGUUGGUGAGGUAACGGCUCACCAAGGCGACGAUGGGUAGGGGAACUGAGAGGUUGAACCCCCACACUGGUACUGAGACACGGACCAGACGCCUACGGGAGGCAGCAGUGAGGAAUAUUGGUCAAUGGGCGAGAGCCUGAACCAGCCAAGUCGCGUGAAGGAUGACUGUCUUAUGGAUUGUAAACUUCUUUUAUACGGGAAUAACAAGAGUCACGUGUGGCUCCCUGCAUGUACCGUAUGAAUAAGCAUCGGCUAACUCCGUG
Molecule: ribosomal RNA, 490 nt
Filed under: uncultured bacterium
Lineage: Bacteria
Description: partial 16S ribosomal RNA
Rfam family: Bacterial small subunit ribosomal RNA
Source: RNAcentral